AAAUGCGAUAAGUAAUGUGAAUUGCAGAAUUCAGUGAAUCAUCGAAUCUUUGAACGCACAUUGCGCCCGCCAGUAUUCUGGCGGGCAUGCCUGUUCGAGCGUCAUUUCAACCCUCAAGCCCUGCUUGGUGUUGGGGAUCGGCGUUGCCUCCUCCGUCGUUCGCGGCGGGGUGAGGUCGCCGCCCCCGAAAUGAAUUGGCGGUCUCGUCGCAGCGUUCCUUUGCGUAGUAACAUACCACCUCGCAACCAGGAGCGCGGCGCGGCCACUGCCGUAAAACGCCCAACUUUUUCAAGAGUUGACCUCGAAUCAGGUAGGAAUACCCGCUGAACUUAAGC
RNAcentral lists this unclassified non-coding RNA (335 nucleotides) under plant metagenome. RNAcentral describes it as "partial contains 5.8S ribosomal RNA, internal transcribed spacer 2, and large subunit ribosomal RNA". The stretch from base 1 to 104 matches the Rfam family "5.8S ribosomal RNA", at positions 51 to 154 of the family's 154-position model. The record is from RNAcentral.